This 204-nucleotide ribosomal RNA is filed under the name Clostridioides difficile. Its description in RNAcentral is "partial 23S ribosomal RNA". It matches the Rfam family "Bacterial large subunit ribosomal RNA", at positions 2726 to 2925 of the family's 2925-position model. The record is from RNAcentral. Lineage: Bacteria; Bacillati; Bacillota; Clostridia; Peptostreptococcales; Peptostreptococcaceae.
CUGCCAAGGGCAUGGCUGGGUAGUGAGGUACGGAAUGGAUGAGGGCUGAAGGCAUCAAAGCGCGAAGCCAACUUCAAGAUAAGAUUGCCCACCGCAAGGGUAAGACCCCAGAAAGACGAUCUGGUUGAUAGGUCGAAGGUGUAAGUGCAGCAAUGUAUUUAGCUUAUCGAUACUAAUAGGUCGAGGACUUGACCAAGAUUUAUU